This 497-nucleotide ribosomal RNA is filed under the name uncultured bacterium. RNAcentral's name for it is "partial 16S ribosomal RNA". It matches the Rfam family "Bacterial small subunit ribosomal RNA", at positions 28 to 507 of the family's 1533-position model. The record is from RNAcentral.
GAUGAACGCUGACGGCGUGCCUAAUACAUGCAAGUCGAGCGAACAGACGAGGAGCUUGCUCCUCUGACGUUAGCGGCGGACGGGUGAGUAACACGUGGAUAACCUACCUAUAAGACUGGGAUAACUUCGGGAAACCGGAGCUAAUACCGGAUAAUAUAUUGAACCGCAUGGUUCAAUAGUGAAAGACGGUUUUGCUGUCACUUAUAGAUGGAUUCGCGCCGCAUUAGCUAGUUGGUAAGGUAACGGCUUACCAAGGCAACGAUGCGUAGCCGACCUGAGAGGGUGAUCGGCCACACUGGAACUGAGACACGGUCCAGACUCCUACGGGAGGCAGCAGUAGGGAAUCUUCCGCAAUGGGCGAAAGCCUGACGGAGCAACGCCGCGUGAGUGAUGAAGGUCUUCGGAUCGUAAAACUCUGUUAUUAGGGAAGAACAAAUGUGUAAGUAACUAUGCACGUCUUGACGGUACCUAAUCAGAAAGCCACGGCUAACUACGUG